Molecule: ribosomal RNA, 254 nt
Filed under: uncultured prokaryote
Description: partial 16S ribosomal RNA
Rfam family: Bacterial small subunit ribosomal RNA
Source: RNAcentral
AAUACGGAAUGUGCAAACGUUAUUCGGAAUCACUGGGCUUAAAGAGUCCGUAGGCGGCAUGUUAGGUGAGGUGUGAAAUCCCCCGGCUCAACCGAGGAAUUGCGCUUCAAACCGGCGUGCUUGAGGAAGAUAGAGGUGGGCGGAACUGAUGGUGGAGCGGUGAAAUGCGUUGAUAUCAUCAGGAACACCGGAGGCGAAGGCGGCCCACUGGGUCUUUUCUGACGCUGAGGGACGAAAGCUAGGGGAGCGAACGG